GGGCCUUUAGCUCAGUUGGUUAGAGCAGAGGACUCAUAAUCCUUUGGUCGCGGGUUCGAACCCCGCAGGGCCCA
This 74-nucleotide transfer RNA is filed under the name Paludibacterium purpuratum. It matches the Rfam family "tRNA". Rfam says of the family: Transfer RNA (tRNA) molecules are approximately 80 nucleotides in length. Their secondary structure includes four short double-helical elements and three loops (D, anti-codon, and T loops). Further hydrogen bonds mediate the characteristic L-shaped molecular structure. tRNAs have two regions of fundamental functional importance: the anti-codon, which is responsible for specific mRNA codon recognition, and the 3' end, to which the tRNAs corresponding amino acid is attached (by aminoacyl-tRNA synthetases). tRNAs cope with the degeneracy of the genetic code in two manners: having more than one tRNA (with a specific anti-codon) for a particular amino acid; and 'wobble' base-pairing, i.e. permitting non-standard base-pairing at the 3rd anti-codon position. The record is from Rfam by way of RNAcentral. Lineage: Bacteria; Pseudomonadati; Pseudomonadota; Betaproteobacteria; Neisseriales; Chromobacteriaceae.